CGAGGGCUAGACGUUGUAGUGUUUAUUCCACUGGAGGCAGGGAGGGCGCUAGUAUCAGCACAGAUUUGGGAUAACCCAACGGAAACGCCGCGGGAACCCGGUGGCUAGGAGUAGAACUAGGAUCUCAGGCCGCGAUGGCCCCGCCUUUUCAGUCACCUUAACUGGUUCCUCUUCGUUAUUGGGAUUCCUUUGAAUGAGGCUAUGGAGUAUACACUGCCUUUUCUGGACCAGUCUUGCAACUUUUCGACCUGGAUUUGAGCCAACGUUAUUUUGCUCCCUUAAAUAACUACGUUCUCCAGUUAUUUACUGAAAAUGUUCACGUGAGAGAUACGUUGAGUCCUUGCCUUUACUAAAAUGUGGUGAUUGUAAUGACUUCAUUUUCCUAGACCCAGAUAAAAGUCUCACUUUAUUCAUGAAACUUCCUUACAAUCAGCAGUGACCUCUGCCCCAUGUUACGUUUUAACACUUACUAUAUCAUUCAUUAGUCAUUAGCCAUAUACUCUAAUUGUGUAAUCUAAUGAUGUAUAUGCAUUUUAUCUUUCAAACGAAUUAGUCAUAAACUUUUAUGAAUUCUUCAAAGCACUUACUUCAGUGUAUUACACAAAAAUUAUUUGUCUCGUUACAAUAUCUAACCCCAAACAGAUUACCUGCUUAUUUUUGUUGUUAAUCUGUAUACAGAAAGUGUUUAUUAUUGUUACUUUUCAGCUGCAGUUAUUUUAGAGAAAGAGAAAUAUAAAAGAGAAAGGCCACACUCUAGCUGCCAAAAAGUAAUAGGAUUCUGUGCCAGUAAGCACUUAAUAGAAGAUUCUUUAUGACAAUAAAAAUAUACCUUUUUAUGAACAUACAUGAACAUAAACCUUAAAUGCAAAAUACUUAAGAGGAACGAAACAUGUUUCAACCAUAGUUUACUUCAUGGUGUUGUCUUUAUCAGAAUAUAGUUAUCCAAUCAGACAUGCUGAUUAAUUCAAUUACGUAAGUCUAGUGCCAAUUUGAACCUUCGGACAAUGCAAGUAAGUCAGUACUUGAAAAACAAAGUUGUUUUUCCCAUCUUUGCCAUUGUAGGGAUUUCCCUCUCCUUUUAUACAUAGUUACUACUUUAUGUCGGGUGUAUUCUAAGUGCUUUAAAAUAUUAACUGGAGCCUAGUCACGGUGGCUCACACCUGUAAUCCCAGCACUUUGAGAGAUUGAGGUGGGCGGACCACCUGAGGUUGGAAGUUCAAGAUCAGCCUGACCAACAUGGAGAAACCCCAUCUCUUCUAAGAAUACAAAAUUAGCCGGAUGUGGUGGGGCAUGCCUGUAAUUCCAGCUACUAAGGAGGCUGAGGCAGGAGAAUCGCUUGAACCUGGGAGGGGGAGGUUGCUGUGAGCUGAGAUCAUGCCAUUGCACUCCAGCCUGGGAACAGGAACAAAACUCUCCCAGCACUUUGGGAGGUCAAGGUGAGAGGAUUGCUUCAGCUCAGGAGUCUGAGACCAGCCUGGGCAACAUAGGCAGACCCCAUCUCUACAAAAUGUAUACAAAAUUAGCAAUGUGUGGUGCAGGCACAUGUAGCCCCAGCUACUCAGGAGGCAGAGGUGCGAGGAUCACUUGAGCACAGGAGUUCAGAGGCUGAAGUCAGUUAUGAUCAUGCCACUGCACUCCAGUCAGCAACAGAGUGAGAACCUGUCUCAACCCCUCCCUCAAAGAACUUGUUAGUCAUCACUACUAGAGGAAACAAAUUCUAUUAUCCCCAUUUUAAGAUGAGGAUAACAAAGUACAGAGUGGUUAAAUAACUUACCAAAGAUCACACAGAUCACAACUAGGAAGAGGUUUAGCCACGAUUCAGAUGAUUGGACUUCUGGACCCUUGGAUUUAGUCACUGUGCUCUGUAUGUGUGCCCUGCUGAGUCUCUGGUAACUCUUUUGUUGUUGAUACUGAGAGAAGGUCUUACUCUGUUGCCCAGGCUGAAGUACAGUUGAUCCAGCCUUCCAGAUAGCUGGGACUACAGGCAGGUGCAAUCACACCUGGCUAAUUUUUUGUAUGUUUUAUAGAGAUGCAUUUCACCAUGUUGCCCAUGGCUGGGCUAUUGAACUCCUGGGCUCAUACAAUCUGCCUGCCUUGGCCUCUCCAAGUGCUAGGAUUACAGGCAGCAAACACUGUGCCUGGCCCUUUGGUAACUUAACAAUGACUCUGCUACUGGCUGUGUUUCAGGUCUGGGAGAGAUAUUUGUAGUAAAUAAGCCAGACAUUAAUUGCACAGUUGAUCAUACCAUUCUUCUUGAAACACUUCCUCCCAUUUCACUAGCUGUCUCUUCUCCUCAGUCUCCUUCUUGGCCCCUCUUCCCUUCUCAGCCUGUUAUUGCUCAAGAUAAAAACCCUUGGUGUAGCCGGGCAGGGUGGCUCACACCUGUAAUCCCAGCACUUUGGGAGGCUGAGGUGGGUGGAUCAACUGAGGUCAGGAGUUUGAGACUAGCCUGACCAACGUGGUGAAACUAUCUCUACUAAAAAAUAAACAACCCUUAGAGUCUUAUUUACCUUCUCUUUGUUAUCUUAUGUCUUCCCUUUCCUAAACGUAGUCUUUUCCUAGGCACCAGCUAAUGCUUUAUCCUGUUUGGUUUUUCUGCAUAGUAUAUAUUGCUAUGUAAAAUUACAUGUAUUCAUUUGACUUGUUAACUGUAUGUUUCCUCCACUAUCAUGUAAACUUCAUGAUGGAUUUAAAUCUAUCUUAAUUUGGGUUUCAGAUGUUCCUUUUUAAAAUCUUUUCCUGCUUUCUGUAAAACGUACUAAAUACUUUUUAUUUCACCUUUCCCCUCUAAUUUAAAUGUUUUACUCUUUAAUUUUAUUAUUUUAAAUAAAUUAAGACAUACAUGCUUA
This is a non-coding RNA of Callithrix jacchus (white-tufted-ear marmoset), 2849 nucleotides long. Lineage: Eukaryota; Metazoa; Chordata; Mammalia; Primates; Cebidae. The record is from RefSeq and is a predicted model, not a curated record.